UCCUUUCGUUUAUAAGUGAAGUUUACUAUUAUUCUUUCUGCAUUGCCUUCAAACCACCCUUAAUAAUAUGCAAUUUGUCUCAACUAUAUCAAAUUGCAUUGGAUAACAUUAAUAGUCUAUUACCUAGCAUGUAAUAGUCUUUUAAGUUAAUAUACGCUUCCACACGCGCGUAAACUACAAUGUAUAUUUUGCAUAUUUGCACAGCCCAUAUCAUGUAGUGUGUUAAACACCCUUAAUAGUAUGCUUAUGGCAUUUUCACGUUGCCCUGCAUUAUAUAAAGAGGGGCAAAACUCCCAGGCUGUUAUUGAGGUAGGCUUAGUUGAGUGUAAACAAUUGUGGACAAAUGCAGUUCAUUGUGGCACACUGAACAAGUCUCUUCCAUGUUUCAAUGGUGAGCUUCCUUUCAAGCUCUCCACUAGGUAUGUGUAAUUUUGUAAAAUGAGUUUCGUUGGAUUCAUAAGAUUUAGGUUUUUGGGUUGCUUGCAUUUACCUAUUUACUUAUAUUCUCAUCUUACAAUUACAUUUACUUUUGGAAGGUAUACGACUGUUAAUUGAUCAGAGGUGUUUUACCACUAUUGAGUCAAAAGAUGUGCUGAUUCUAGAUGUUUUCCUGUUUUCAUUAUACCCAGGUUCAAUGAUGCAAUUGAGGGAAGAAAGGCUAGGGACAGCUAGCCCUGAGGUGGAUGAUGAGAAAAGAAGGUUGGCUGACUUAUUGAAAGAAACAGGCAGACUUUGGAACAGAAAAGCCAGAUCACUAGAGAACCUCCUUGAGGCCAACUCUGAUGGUAUAAACAAUGAUCGAAUUAAGGUAUGAUAAGAAUGGCUAUCUGUUCAGGAACGAAAUUUAGCUGGCUGUCUUCAAUGGAUCAGUUCUCGACAAUAGCAAAUAGAAGCAUUGAUGAAAUCAAAUUCACUUGGAAUAGAAUAAUCAAAGCAGAAGCUGCAAGCUAAGCCAACUAAGACUCCAAAUACUACUGAGUUUUGAGUUGGGAUUUUUGGAAUUUGAUAAUCGAAAGCCUCUGUAUGCACCAUGCUGAAAAUGGCACAACCAGGUUUUUGUUAAGUGUAAUUCCAAGCUUCACAAAGUGAAGACAUAGGAACAAUGAAGUUCAAUUUGUUGGUGAGCUUAAACUCCAGGGUUAUAGCUACCGGUUGAAGAUUCGCCAGAAAUAACAACAAAUUUAUGCUUUCAAAUACUACUAUAUUCAGGUAUGUCUUCAACACAAACACUAUCUAUUUACCUAUUUCACAUAUGAUCUCUCUAAUUCUAUAUAGUAGACAAGUCCGCGAUGAGCGGAAGACAACGAGCGAACCCUAGCGCUCGAGCAAGCGAUGGCGGCGGCCUCCUCUCGUCUCGGGUAGAGUAGGCUGAUCUGGCCCCUGGUACGAUCGUCGUCGAUGGUUGCAAUGGUUUGGAUCCUGGGGUUGUUUUCCGGGGGAUGUUGGUGACGGGUUCUGGAGGAUCUUUGCCCUCCUUGGUUCUGACAGGUUGGACGGAGAGCGGGACGUUGCGGCACUGUCAGAACCGGUCCCUUCCGUCGGUGGCAAGGGGGGUUGGAGUUCGGAGGUGCAACUGGUUUUUCCAUCGACGGGCUUCGCUCAUGCUCCUGCAAGGCGUGAUCGAGGAUUGCUGCAGCAGACUAGGCUGUUGCUCGAUAUGAUGCUGUGACAGGAUCUGCUGCCGGAGGACAUGACGGUGGCUGAGGCACAGGUGCAGCAGGCUUCUCCUUGGUUGGCCUGGGCUCACGCUUAGGCUGAUGAGGCAAGAAAGUCUUCCUGUUGAGCAAGCUCUGAUUUGGGUAUGGGCCUUUGGGCUUGGGCUCAGGUCAAGGCACUCUGGGCCCUAAAUAUUUUAGGGUAUUGAGCCUGUGUGAGGUUGGAUAAACUUCUAUGAGUCUUUUAUGACGUUUCUAGUGUUUUGCUUGUACCACAAUUGCGUGAUUGGCAAGUGAGGGCUAGUUGAAUGAUUUCUUUCCGUAGGAGGCGAGGUUUUUUCAUUCUUGUAUAGGCUCGCUUAAUUGUGAGCGUCCCAGAGAUAUUUAAUGGUGUGCUUUAGCUUAGUUAGGUUAUACUGGAUUUUUUUGCCGGGUUUCUUAUGUAAGUUUU
Long non-coding RNA from Rosa chinensis, 2106 nucleotides. RefSeq lists it as uncharacterized. The transcript is spliced from 4 exons. NCBI's taxonomy places the organism in Eukaryota, Viridiplantae, Streptophyta, Magnoliopsida, Rosales, Rosaceae. The record is from RefSeq and is a predicted model, not a curated record.